This 516-nucleotide ribosomal RNA is filed under the name uncultured archaeon. RNAcentral's name for it is "bacterial SSU rRNA". It matches the Rfam family "Archaeal small subunit ribosomal RNA", at positions 93 to 593 of the family's 1478-position model. The record is from RNAcentral.
GUAACCCUAACAGAGGUGCCCUGGAUACNUGGACNACCCCGGGAAACUGGCAUUAAGAGGUGAUAGGUCAUCUCAUCUGGAAGGAGAGAUGGCUUAAAGGGGUACGCGGGCUUCUUCUGCGUAUUCGCUCCAGGAUGGGACUGCGUCCGAUCAGGCUGUUGGCGGGGUAAUGGCCCACCAAACCUGUAACCGGUACGGGCCUUGAGAGAGGUGGCCCGGAGAUGGACACUGAGAGAAGGGUCCAGGUCCUACGGGGCGCAGCAGGCGCGAAACCUUCGCAAUGCGCGAAAGCGUGACGAGGUUAAUCCGAGUGGCCCCCGCUGAGGGGGUCUUUUGUCAGCUGUAAAUAGGCGGGCGAAUAAGGGGAGGGCAAGCCUGGUGUCAGCCGCCGCGGUAAUACCAGCUCCUCGAGUGGUCGGGGCGAUUAUUGGGCCUAAAGCAUCCGUAGCCGGUUCCGUAGGUCCCCUGUUAAAUCCACCCGCUUAACGGGUGACCUGCAGAGGAUACCGCGGGACU